Molecule: transfer RNA, 88 nt
Filed under: Candidatus Fermentibacterota bacterium
Lineage: Bacteria; Pseudomonadati; Candidatus Fermentibacterota
Also listed under: 1 other name
Description: Candidatus Fermentibacteria bacterium tRNA-Leu
Rfam family: tRNA
About the family: Transfer RNA (tRNA) molecules are approximately 80 nucleotides in length. Their secondary structure includes four short double-helical elements and three loops (D, anti-codon, and T loops).
Source: RNAcentral
GCCGGGAUGGUGGAAUUGGCAGACACAACGGACUUAAAAUCCGUUGCUCUUUUUGGGCGUGAGGGUUCAAGUCCCUCUCCCGGCACCA